RNAcentral lists this ribosomal RNA (253 nucleotides) under uncultured bacterium. RNAcentral describes it as "partial 16S ribosomal RNA". It matches the Rfam family "Bacterial small subunit ribosomal RNA", at positions 524 to 776 of the family's 1533-position model. The record is from RNAcentral.
UACGAAGGGGGCUAGCGUUGCUCGGAAUCACUGGGCGUAAAGGGUGCGUAGGCGGGUCUUUAAGUCCGGGGUGAAAUCCUGGAGCUCAACUCCAGAACUGCCCUUGAUACUGAGGAUCUUGAGUUCGGGAGAGGUGAGUGGAACUGCGAGUGUAGAGGUGAAAUUCGUAGAUAUUCGCAAGAACACCAGUGGCGAAGGCGGCUCACUGGCCCGAUACUGACGCUGAGGCACGAAAGCGUGGGGAGCAAACAGG